GAGUAAUGUCUGGGAAACUGCCUGAUGGAGGGGGAUAACUACUGGAAACGGUGGCUAAUACCGCAUAACGUCGCAAGACCAAAGAGGGGGACCUUCGGGCCUCUUGCCAUCAGAUGUGCCCAGAUGGGAUUAGCUUGUUGGUGAGGUAACGGCUCACCAAGGCGACGAUCCCUAGCUGGUCUGAGAGGAUGACCAGCCACACUGGAACUGAGACACGGUCCAGACUCCUACGGGAGGCAGCAGUGGGGAAUAUUGCACAAUGGGCGCAAGCCUGAUGCAGCCAUGCCGCGUGUAUGAAGAAGGCCUUCGGGUUGUAAAGUACUUUCAGCGGGGAGGAAGGUGUUGUGGUUAAUAACCGCAGCAAUUGACGUUACCCGCAGAAGAAGCACCGGCUAACUCCGUGCCAGCAGCCGCGGUAAUACGGAGGGUGCAAGCGUUAAUCGGAAUUACUGGGCGUAAAGCGCACGCAGGCGGUCUGUCAAGUCGGAUGUGAAAUCCCCGGGCUCAACCUGGGAACUGCAUUCGAAACUGGCAG
Molecule: ribosomal RNA, 535 nt
Filed under: Salmonella enterica subsp. enterica serovar Enteritidis
Lineage: Bacteria; Pseudomonadati; Pseudomonadota; Gammaproteobacteria; Enterobacterales; Enterobacteriaceae
Description: bacterial SSU rRNA
Rfam family: Bacterial small subunit ribosomal RNA
Source: RNAcentral